UACGUAGGGGGCAAGCGUUGUCCGGAUUUAUUGGGCGUAAAGCGCUCGCAGGUGGCCCGUUGCGUCGUGCGUGAAAGACCCCGGCUCAACUGGGGAGUGUCGUGCGAUACGGGCGGACUGGAGGCCGGUAGGGGGAUGCGGAAUUCCGGGUGUAGUGGUGGAAUGCGUAGAUAUGCGGAGGAACACCGAUGGCGAAGGCAAUCCCCUGGGCCUGCACUGACGCUCAUGCACGAAAGCGUGGGGAGCAAACAGG
RNAcentral lists this ribosomal RNA (253 nucleotides) under uncultured bacterium. Its description in RNAcentral is "partial 16S ribosomal RNA". It matches the Rfam family "Bacterial small subunit ribosomal RNA", at positions 524 to 776 of the family's 1533-position model. The record is from RNAcentral.